GGCAACAAACUAUAUCUUGUACACAACAUUAAUUUAAGAACAAGAAAAUUCUAAGAAGGUUCGUCUACCAAAAGUGAACAACAAUAUUCACGAAUACGACAAAGUUCAUAUAACUAAUUCGUGAAUUGGUCUAGCAAACUCUUAUAUACAUAAUCGACAUUCAUUUUUCUACUAAAUCAAUUAAAGCCCCAACUCUGUGCUAUACUUAUUUUUCCCCACCUUCAACAAGCUAGAUAAAGGUCCAUAAUAACUACUAGGCCACUUAACUCCUCGUAGUAUUUUCAUAAUUGUGUUGAAAGAGAUAAGAGAAGGAAAUGGUGUUUGAUCUCAGCGGUAAAUGGAUGGCAGUUGUAAAGGAACAGCGACUGGCUGGGCUGAAGCUUGAUGUGAUGGCAAAGGGACGGCAGUAGUGACUGAGAUAAGCAGCAACAAUAAGUUAGUGAUGUACAAAAUGGUGGCCAGUUGGUCGUCGGUGGCUAAAGCUUGACGAUAGCAGAGCAGUUGUAGCAGUGAAAUCGAGGAGCAGCAGUUGGUAGCAGAAGGUGCAACAGAGGAGCGGCGGUAGUGACUUAACAAGUAGUGUGUUU
Molecule: long non-coding RNA, 587 nt
Filed under: Citrus maxima (pomelo)
Lineage: Eukaryota; Viridiplantae; Streptophyta; Magnoliopsida; Sapindales; Rutaceae
Description: long non-coding RNA (CMAX_LNC001335)
Source: RNAcentral